Molecule: ribosomal RNA, 591 nt
Filed under: Triticum aestivum (bread wheat)
Lineage: Eukaryota; Viridiplantae; Streptophyta; Magnoliopsida; Poales; Poaceae
Description: partial small subunit ribosomal RNA
Source: RNAcentral
GGUCCAGGUCCCUUCUCGCAGAGGGUGCUGCUCACGCUGGAGGAGAAGAAGGUGCCCUACCAGAUGAAGCUCAUCGACGUCAGCAACAAGCCCGACUGGUUCCUGAAGAUCAAUCCAGAGGGCAAGGUGCCCGUGUAUAACGGUGGUGAUGGCAAAUGGAUUGCUGAUUCUGAUGUGAUCACUCAAGUCAUUGAGGAGAAGUACCCAACUCCAUCACUUGUUACUCCUCCUGAGUAUGCAUCAGUGGGAUCAAAGAUCUUCUCCACCUUCGUCACGUUCUUGAAGAGCAAGGAUGCCAGCGAUGGCUCGGAGAAGGCGCUUGUUGACGAGCUGCAGGCACUCGAAGAGCACCUAAAGGCCCAUGGACCCUACAUCAACGGGGCGAACAUCUCCGCCGUCGAUCUCAGCCUGGCUCCGAAGCUCUACCAUCUGCAGGUCGCCCUGGAGCACUUCAAGGGCUGGAAGGUCCCUGAAACCCUGACCAGCGUCCAUGCCUACACCGAGGCUCUCUUCAGCCGCGAGUCGUUCGUCAAGACCAAGGCGACCAAGGAGAACCUGAUCGCCGGGUGGGCGCCGAAAGUGAACCCGUAA